GGUCCAGUGGAGCAAUGGUAGCUCGUCACUCUCUGGGGGCGAGAAACCUUUGGACUCCCAGCCGCCUCUGACCGGGAGGGUGUCCAAUGGUUUCGAAGUGCUGCGUCCGCAAAAUGUAUGCUUUUAUAGCGUUAAUGGUUCAUCCCCGAACCAAAUUAUUCAUAGGUGUAGGUUGCAGGUUCGAAUCCUGUCUGGAUCG
Sphaerobolus stellatus SS14 is the source of this 199-nucleotide non-coding RNA. The record is from the annotation of a GenBank genome assembly. Lineage: Eukaryota; Fungi; Basidiomycota; Agaricomycetes; Geastrales; Sphaerobolaceae.